CACGUAGGAGGCAAACGUUAUCCGGAUUUACUGGGCGUAAAGCGCGUGUAGGUGGUUCUGUAAGUAGGGCGUGAAAGCUCCCGGCUCAACUGGGAGAGGCCGUUCUAAACUGCAGAGCUAGAGGAUGGUAGAGGGAGGUGGAAUUCCAGGUGUAGCGGUGAAAUGCGUAGAUAUCGGGAGGAACACCGGUGGCGAAGGCGGCUUUCUGGCCAGUUACUGACGCUCAUGCGCGAAAGCUGGGGUAGCGAACCGGAUUAGAUACCCCGGUAGUCCCUGAGCGGG
RNAcentral lists this ribosomal RNA (282 nucleotides) under uncultured prokaryote. RNAcentral's name for it is "partial 16S ribosomal RNA". It matches the Rfam family "Bacterial small subunit ribosomal RNA", at positions 524 to 803 of the family's 1533-position model. The record is from RNAcentral.